This is a long non-coding RNA of Nicotiana tabacum (common tobacco), 876 nucleotides long. RefSeq lists it as uncharacterized. Lineage: Eukaryota; Viridiplantae; Streptophyta; Magnoliopsida; Solanales; Solanaceae. The record is from RefSeq and is a predicted model, not a curated record.
ACUCACUACACCCCUUGCUGCCGCCGUGGACUCGCCGGAAAACUUAGUGAUUCCGGUCGAGUCCACUCACCCGAUUCUCCAUGGUCCCCCCCUCCCUUGUCCUCUCUCUCCAUAUCAGUUAAACGCGUAACUAACCAUUCACUCUCUCGAAUCUUCCAUCCGUUUCUACUUUCCACACCUUUUGGACAGAUAUUGCAAAAAUGUUAGCCAUAGGAUCAAAAUAUUAUGGUCCAAGGUUUCCACUUGUCUAAAAUCAGUCCAUUCAAAGGUAAUUUCAGAUUUUAGAGGUUUUUGGAUUUUUAGAGGAGAAUUUUCGUGUUUCUUGGAGAAGAAGAUUGGACGUUUUGGAGCCACUAUAAAUGCUCUCAUUUUCAAAUUUCAGAGGAGAAUUUUUGGGACGGAAAAUUAGGAGGAAAAACUAGGUUUUGGUUUUGGCUUUUACUUUUCUUCUUCUGAUUUUCAUUUCAGAUUCAUAUAACCACAAAAAAAAAAGAUUUCAAUUUGUUCUAGUUUUAUUUUUAUUUCAAAUUUGAAAAUACACAAGAUAAAUUUAGUCUCUUCCUUUGAUUUUGAUUUCCAAAAUGGAGUGAAGUUGAAACAGGUGUUCGAUUGUUGGAGUUGCUGCUUGAGGUGCGGUCCAUUGGUUUUGUUCGAGUUCGACUGACGUUUUGAAUUUUACUCGUAAUGCGCUAUUCUGUCUGUUGUUGUUGUUGGAAUUUUUCGUCAAUUGAAAGCUAUUUAAGAUGGUGAAGACACGUGCUACUUGGCAGGACGGACAACCACCAGCACCACCAGUUAGGUCUGCGAGAGGCCGAGGUCGUGGCAGAGGCCAUGGUUUGAUCAAUAAGGUGACAAAGUGUCAAAAACCAGCUCAAA